CUUAACACAUGCAAGUCGAACGAUGAAGCCUUUCGGGGUGGAUUAGUGGCGAACGGGUGAGUAACACGUGGGCAGUCUGCCCUUCACUCUGGGACAAGCCCUGGAAACGGGGUCUAAUACCGGAUAACACUCUGUCCCGCAUGGGUCGGGGUUAAAAGCUCCGGCGGUGAAGGAUGAGCCCGCGGCCUAUCAGCUUGUUGGUGGGGUAAUGGCCUACCAAGGCGACGACGGGUAGCCGGCCUGAGAGGGCGACCGGCCACACUGGGACUGAGACACGGCCCAGACUCCUACGGGAGGCAGCAGUGGGGAAUAUUGGACAAUGGGCGAAAGCCUGAUCCAGCCAUGCCGCGUGUGUGAAGAAGGUCUUCGGAUUGUAAAGCACUUUAAGUUGGGAGGAAGGGCAUUAACCUAAUACGUUAGUGUUUUGACGUUACCGACAGAAUAAGCACCGGCUAACUCUGUGCCAGCAGCCGCGGUAAUACAGAGGGUGCAAGCGUUAUCCGGAAUUAUUGGGCGUAAAGCGCGCGCAGGUGGUUUCUUAAGUCUGAUGUGAAAGCCCACGGCUCAACCGUGGAGGGUCAUUGGAAACUGGGAGACUUGAGUGCAGAAGAGGAAAGUGGAAUUCCAUGUGUAGCGGUGAAAUGCGUAGAGAUAUGGAGGAACACCAGUGGCGAAGGCGACUUUCUGGUCUGUAACUGACGCUGAUGUGCGAAAGCG
Molecule: ribosomal RNA, 717 nt
Filed under: uncultured Actinomycetales bacterium
Lineage: Bacteria; Bacillati; Actinomycetota; Actinomycetes; Actinomycetales
Description: bacterial SSU rRNA
Rfam family: Bacterial small subunit ribosomal RNA
Source: RNAcentral